AUAAGCACUUGGCCUUCUUGCUUCCAGUGUGUUUCCCCAGGUCAUACUGUCCAUGGCAGACAUAACCAAUAAAUGAUGAGUUUCCUCUUCACUGAGCCUGGACUCAGCUUCAUGAACACUUUCAGCAAAGCAGGACAACACAAUUUUUGGAGCCUCUGAGCUCUUUUCCCUGUGAAGAACAACUACCAUUUCAUCCUGGACACCCAUUGUUUGCCUGGACCACACCUUGCUAUGACCAUAACCCUCAGUCAGGCUCAGUCUUCCUUCAAGAUCUGCAGGCUUUCUAGGACAGCUUGUGAUAUGGCCAAGGGCUGUCUCUUCAGCCUCACAGCUCAACACUCUUCAAGGGUGGUAAUAAAUCAACAAUACUGAACUCCGCGGGGCUCCACGGACCCAGGGGCUUGUCUCCAAACUCUAGAGUUUGUACAUGCUGCUCUCUUAUCCUGAAGUAUC
Cercocebus atys (sooty mangabey) is the source of this 453-nucleotide long non-coding RNA. RefSeq lists it as uncharacterized. The transcript is spliced from 3 exons. NCBI's taxonomy places the organism in Eukaryota, Metazoa, Chordata, Mammalia, Primates, Cercopithecidae. The record is from RefSeq and is a predicted model, not a curated record.